UCCGGUAUGGUCUAGUGGCUAGGAUACCUGGCUUUCACCCAGGAGGCUUGGGUUCGAUUGCCGGUACCGGAA
Molecule: transfer RNA, 72 nt
Filed under: Blattella germanica (German cockroach)
Lineage: Eukaryota; Metazoa; Arthropoda; Insecta; Blattodea; Blattellidae
Description: tRNA-Glu (TTC) (tRNA-Glu-TTC-11-1)
Rfam family: tRNA
About the family: Transfer RNA (tRNA) molecules are approximately 80 nucleotides in length. Their secondary structure includes four short double-helical elements and three loops (D, anti-codon, and T loops). Further hydrogen bonds mediate the characteristic L-shaped molecular structure. tRNAs have two regions of fundamental functional importance: the anti-codon, which is responsible for specific mRNA codon recognition, and the 3' end, to which the tRNAs corresponding amino acid is attached (by aminoacyl-tRNA synthetases). tRNAs cope with the degeneracy of the genetic code in two manners: having more than one tRNA (with a specific anti-codon) for a particular amino acid; and 'wobble' base-pairing, i.e. permitting non-standard base-pairing at the 3rd anti-codon position.
Source: RNAcentral